RNAcentral lists this small RNA (478 nucleotides) under uncultured Paraglomus. Its description in RNAcentral is "SSU rRNA". It matches the Rfam family "Eukaryotic small subunit ribosomal RNA", at positions 569 to 1053 of the family's 1831-position model. Lineage: Eukaryota; Fungi; Glomeromycota; Glomeromycetes; Paraglomerales; Paraglomeraceae. The record is from RNAcentral.
CGCAGCCGCGGUAAUUCCAGCUCCAAUAGCGUAUAUUAAAGUUGUUGUGGUUAAAAAGCUCGUAGUUGAACCUUGGGCCUGGCCGUCCGGUCCGCCUCACCGCGUGUACUGGCUCGGCCGGGCCUUUCCCUCUGUGGAACCCCAUGCCCUUCACUGGGCGUGGCGGGGAAACAGGACUUUUACUGUGAAAAAUUAGAGUGCUCCAGGCAGGCCUAUGCUCGAAUACAUUAGCAUGGAAUAAUAGAAUAGGACGUGUGGUUCUAUUUUGUUGGUUUCUGGGACCGCCGUAAUGAUUAAUAGGGACAGUCGGGGGCAUCAGUAUUCAAUUGUCAGAGGUGAAAUUCUUGGAUUUAUUGAAGACUAACUACUGCGAAAGCAUUUGCCAAGGAUGUUUUCAUUAAUCAGGAACGAAAGUUAGGGGAUCGAAGACGAUCAGAUACCGUCGUAGUCUUAACCAUAAACUAUGCCGACUAGGGAU